Molecule: ribosomal RNA, 372 nt
Filed under: uncultured bacterium
Lineage: Bacteria
Description: bacterial SSU rRNA
Rfam family: Bacterial small subunit ribosomal RNA
Source: RNAcentral
ACAGAGGGUGCGAGCGUUAAUCGGAAUUACUGGGCGUAAAGCGCACGUAGUCGGCUUGUCAAGUCGGGUGUGAAAUCCCCGGGCUCAACCUGGGAACUGCAUCCGAAACUGACUUGCUAGAGUAUGGGAGAGGGAGGCGGAAUUUCUGGUGUAGCAGUGAAAUGCGUAGAUAUCAGAAGGAACAUCAGUGGCGAAGGCGGCCUCCUGGACCAAUACUGACGAUCAGGUGCGAAAGCGUGGGGAGCAAACAGGAUUAGAUACCCUGGUAGUCCACGCCCUAAACGAUGAGAACUAGAUGUCGGGAGGGUUUGCUGUUCAGUAACGAAGCUAACGCGUGAAGUUGACCGCCUGGGGAGUACGGCCGCAAGGUUG